This 367-nucleotide ribosomal RNA is filed under the name uncultured bacterium. RNAcentral's name for it is "bacterial SSU rRNA". It matches the Rfam family "Bacterial small subunit ribosomal RNA", at positions 28 to 395 of the family's 1533-position model. The record is from RNAcentral.
GACGAACGCUGGCGGCGUGCUUAACACAUGCAAGUCGAGCGGUAAGGCCCUUUCGGGGUACGACGAGCGGCGAACGGGUGAGUAACACGUGGGUGACCUGCCCUUACGCUCUGGGAUAAGCCUGGGAAACUGGGUCUAAUACCGGAUAUGACUCCAUGACGCAUGUUGUGGGGUGGAAAGCCUUGUGCGGCUAGGGAUGGGCCUGCGGCCUAUCAGCUUGUUGGUGGGGUGAUGGCCUACCAAGGCGACGACGGGUAGCCGGCCUGAGAGGGCGACCGGCCACACUGGGACUGAGACACGGCCCAGACUCCUACGGGAGGCAGCAGUGGGGAAUCUUGCGCAAUGGGCGAAAGCCUGACGCAGCGAC